GUGGCCAUAGCUCAGUAGGUAGAGCGUCGGGUUGUGGUCCCGAAUGUCGCGGGUUCAAAUCCCGUUGGUCACC
RNAcentral lists this transfer RNA (73 nucleotides) under Deltaproteobacteria bacterium. Its description in RNAcentral is "tRNA-His". It matches the Rfam family "tRNA". From Rfam's summary of the family: Transfer RNA (tRNA) molecules are approximately 80 nucleotides in length. Their secondary structure includes four short double-helical elements and three loops (D, anti-codon, and T loops). Lineage: Bacteria; Pseudomonadati; Myxococcota; Myxococcia. The record is from RNAcentral.